This 524-nucleotide ribosomal RNA is filed under the name uncultured Microvirga sp. RNAcentral describes it as "bacterial SSU rRNA". It matches the Rfam family "Bacterial small subunit ribosomal RNA", at positions 355 to 897 of the family's 1533-position model. Lineage: Bacteria; Pseudomonadati; Pseudomonadota; Alphaproteobacteria; Hyphomicrobiales; Methylobacteriaceae. The record is from RNAcentral.
UGGGGAAUAUUGGACAAUGGGCGCAAGCCUGAUCCAGCCAUGCCGCGUGAGUGAUGAAGGCCCUAGGGUUGUAAAGCUCUUUCGGCGGGGACGAUAAUGACGGUACCCGCAGAAGAAGCCCCGGCUAACUUCGUGCCAGCAGCCGCGGUAAUACGAAGGGGGCUAGCGUUGCUCGGAAUCACUGGGCGUAAAGGGCGCGUAGGCGGAUCUUUAAGUCGGGGGUGAAAGCCUGAGGCUCAACCUCAGAAUUGCCUUCGAUACUGAAGAUCUUGAGACCGGAAGAGGUAAGUGGAACUGCGAGUGUAGAGGUGAAAUUCGUAGAUAUUCGCAAGAACACCAGUGGCGAAGGCGGCUUACUGGUCCGGUUCUGACGCUGAGGCGCGAAAGCGUGGGGAGCAAACAGGAUUAGAUACCCUGGUAGUCCACGCCGUAAACGAUGGAUGCUAGCCGUUGGCGAGCUUGCUCGUCAGUGGCGCAGCUAACGCUUUAAGCAUCCCGCCUGGGGAGCACGGUCGCAAGAUUAA